Molecule: ribosomal RNA, 486 nt
Filed under: marine sediment bacterium ISA-1307
Lineage: Bacteria
Description: bacterial SSU rRNA
Rfam family: Bacterial small subunit ribosomal RNA
Source: RNAcentral
UGGCGGCAGGCCUAACACAUGCAAGUCGAGCGGCAGCGACAUGAACAAUCCUUCGGGUGCGUUCAUGGGCGGCGAGCGGCGGACGGGUGAGUAAUGCCUGGGAAUAUGCCCUGAUGUGGGGGAUAACCAUUGGAAACGAUGGCUAAUACCGCAUAAUCUCUUCGGAGCAAAGAGGGGGACCUUCGGGCCUCUCGCGUCAGGAUUAGCCCAGGUGAGAUUAGCUAGUUGGUGGGGUAAGAGCUCACCAAGGCGACGAUCUCUAGCUGGUCUGAGAGGAUGAUCAGCCACACUGGAACUGAGACACGGUCCAGACUCCUACGGGAGGCAGCAGUGGGGAAUAUUGCACAAUGGGGGAAACCCUGAUGCAGCCAUGCCGCGUGUGUGAAGAAGGCCUUCGGGUUGUAAAGCACUUUCAGUCGUGAGGAAGGCAUAUGCGUUAAUAGCGCAUGUGCUUGACGUUAGCGACAGAAGAAGCACCGGCUAACU